This 282-nucleotide unclassified non-coding RNA is filed under the name Melitaea cinxia (Glanville fritillary). Its description in RNAcentral is "misc RNA ENSMCXG00005000383.1". Lineage: Eukaryota; Metazoa; Arthropoda; Insecta; Lepidoptera; Nymphalidae. The record is from RNAcentral.
AAAAACCUGAAAAAGCAGGAGAUGCUGAUUUAGAUGACCUUCAAGAACGUGUGACGACGAACAUUGUCUCUCAUAAAAUGAAGCGCACGGUGGCCGAGGUGCUGGUGCCGGCCGUGCUGCGGCUGUACGCGCACAUGCGGCCGCGCGGCGGGCAGCUCGCCGCCUACCUCGUGCGCAUCGCCACCGACCUGCUCAACGACUACCGGCACGAGAUCGAGGAGCUGAUAGAGAACGACGAGGAGCUAGUGGAGCGCGUGCGGCAGUUCCAGGAGACCAUCGGGC